This is a long non-coding RNA of Drosophila busckii, 2540 nucleotides long. RefSeq lists it as uncharacterized. The transcript has 2 exons. The record is from RefSeq and is a predicted model, not a curated record. NCBI's taxonomy places the organism in Eukaryota, Metazoa, Arthropoda, Insecta, Diptera, Drosophilidae.
CAUAUAUAUAAUAAAUACUUAAUUUAAUUUAAUGCUUAAUUAACUAACUAAGUAAAUGCUAAGAAAUACACUUGAAUAUAAAAUGUGCUACGAUUGGUAUACGAUUAAUAUUUCUGAACUUCUAAUGCGCUCUCUUAUUACAAAACUCCCCCAUUAUAAACUAUAAGUAUUUAACUAAAUUAAUGUUGAGCCGACCGCAGCUUGAAUUCCAUCUGAAAAUAAAUAUUUUGUUUUGCACCUUUGCGUUUUGCCAGAGCGUUUUAGCCAGUUUACUUAACAGGAGGCCCUUGGGACUGCAUGUGUAAUCGAUAAUGCUAAGAAGCCUAACAAUAUUUUCGGCCAAUUAUUGACGGACGUAUCGCUGACGAGUCAAAUUUGUGUGUAGAACGGCACUUGGCCCCAAGAAAUAGGCAACAACAAACAAAAGCGCAUUACGUCAUCAGCAUUAAAUAAAACAACCUUAUAAACUUUAUAAGCAGCACAACAGCACAUUUGAAAAGCGACAUCUUCCCAUAACAACAAUUAAACAUAUGGAUAAAGAAUUUUCCAAAACAGAAUAAAUAAAUAUUUGACAUUGACGCGAUUGAAGCUAUUGCCUAUUACAGAAAGUGCGAGGGAGAAGGGGAAGCAGUAAAACAUUUAAAAAGCGAAAAUGAAUUAAAAGUGUGCACAGGCAGGCACACGCCCAAAAAUGGCUUAAAAAGCAAACGACUUUUGACCAAAAGCGGCCACACAAUUUGGACAAGGCAGGCAACAACCGGUGGACAAGACAGGGUGGCCAUAUUUGUAUGAUGUACACUUAUAAACAUCACUGACAAAAGUGAGGCUUAGAACACACGACAAACACUCGUUAAAAUAUCGUGUGAUUAUGAAUUGGAACCAAAUGUAUGUAGAUAUGUACAUAUCAUGCCGCCGACACCGCCGCCACCCGCUCGCUCGGCUUACGUCAUCGUCCAAACAAACAGCGGGCAGCAUACAAAACACACACACUCACACACACACAUGUGUGAGCUUAACGAUAAAAAGCAUUUCAAAUAGGGGGCGGCGGGGUUGGGGGCCUCGCUGGAGCCGCGUAGCUUUCCAAGCACACACGAAAGUCAAAUAACAAAACCGUUGAUGAAGCAGCAGCUAUAACAAAAAUAAAGACCAACAAGCACAAGCAAGAAAAAAAAAACACACGCACACACACAAAAAACAAAAAUUGUGCUUGAGCUUGAGUUUCGUUUUUCGUUUAAAAAUAGCGGGAGUCGCCGCUUGGGGCAGACUCCAAUCUGCUGUGUGUGUGUGUGUUGAGAGAAAAAGAAGUAAGCAAAAUAUUUUUGCUCUUUUGCUUUUGAACUCAUUAACAAAAAUGUAUUGAAGAUUAAAAGGCAGGCCCAAAAGUUAAGUUAAAGGCCACAGCCAAGGAACCAGUUUAGGUUUUAGUGUGUUGUGGAAUUUAUGAAAAAUUACCGGCAAAAUGCAACAAUUUUAAGACAAAUAAAUAAUAACAAAGUAGUAAAGGCCAUGAGUAAGAAAUUGUACAAAAAAUUGUUAACAGCUUAGUCACAAACACACCACACACACCUUUGAAUAUAAAUUUUAUGUUUUUCACAUUUUGUAUUGUCAUGGCAACAAAAAUAAAACAACUGAAACAAAAGACAGUCGGCUACGUUUGAGUGCGUAGGGUGUGUUUUAAAUGUUUUUAUGUGAUGCAUUUUUAAUUAUGAACUAAGAUACAUAAUUCAUAUAAACACUUUAAUCUUGUGUUAAGCAGUAGCGGCGCUCUCUCAAGCAGAAAUAGAGCGCGCAAGACUCUCAGCUAAGUUAUGGUGUUCUAAUCUCUUAAAUUUUGAAAUUACACACACACACACACACACAUUGAAGACUCGAGUGAGAGCAAAACGCACACAAAUCAAAACCAAUUUGUCACAAUAUGAAGGCAUUGAAAUUAUCAGUGUUUGAUUGCAUGACAGACAUGUGCUAACUGCUGGGGGGUGGGGCGAUAAAGAGGGGGUGGGGGCAGAGGAUGUGAUGAAAACGUUGACUGGACUGGGCCACGCAAAUGACAUUGAAAGCAUUGUCUAAAACACAAAAUAGUAAACAAUGAGGCACAUUAUUUAUUGUUUUAAGCUUUUGUCUAAAUAGUGAGGGUUGGAACUAAAUGUCAAUCACACAUAACAACGAAAAUCGUGGAAAAAUGCAAGCGAAAUAAUUUUAAACUAACGGCGCAGACCAUUUGUACUACGGUAUGGAAUAUAAAAUGUAUUUAGAGACUUGUUAGCAGUGGGCCCUGCACUUCAACUUUGGCUCCCCUUCAAGCACUGAGCGUAAAAUGACGUCAACAAUGAAUGUUGUCAUAGCGAGUAAACUCUGAUUUCACACACACGCACACAUACAAAUGUUGAGGCCCUACACAUUUCUCGAGCUCGCACAAUUGUCUAAUUAGAAUCGAAUUAAGCACACAUCAAAUGUAAUGGUGGUGGGUUAAGGCUUACGCCAAAAAUGAACAACAAGAACAACAAAAGAAAAACCAUUUAUUGAUGGCCCUGGCGUAAAAA